This 82-nucleotide non-coding RNA is filed under the name Maioricimonas rarisocia. Lineage: Bacteria; Pseudomonadati; Planctomycetota; Planctomycetia; Planctomycetales; Planctomycetaceae. The record is from RNAcentral.
CUACCGGCGUGGCAACGCACCGGGAAGGGGCGGGAGAAGUCAGCAGAGGUCAUAGUAGUCGGGCGCGUGCCCGGCGAAGGAC